ACAUGUGGCCAUACCAGCGUGACAAAGCCUGAUCUCAUCAGAUCUCAGAAACUAAACAAGGCUGGGCCUGGUUAGUACUUGGAUGUGAGACCACUGGGAAUACCAGGUCAUUGUGUCCU
This 119-nucleotide ribosomal RNA is filed under the name Periophthalmus magnuspinnatus. The record is from RNAcentral. Lineage: Eukaryota; Metazoa; Chordata; Actinopteri; Gobiiformes; Gobiidae.